This 301-nucleotide ribosomal RNA is filed under the name uncultured bacterium. RNAcentral describes it as "partial 16S ribosomal RNA". It matches the Rfam family "Bacterial small subunit ribosomal RNA", at positions 509 to 807 of the family's 1533-position model. The record is from RNAcentral.
CAGCAGCCACGGGAAUACGAAGGGGGCUAGCGUUGUUCGGAUUUACUGGGCGUAAAGGGCGCGUAGGCGGGCUGAUAAGUCAGGGGUGAAAUCCCAAGGCUCAACCUUGGAACUGCCUUUGAUACUGUUUGUCUUGAGUUCGAGAGAGGUAAGUGGAACUGCGAGUGUAGAGGUGAAAUUCGUAGAUAUUCGCAAGAACACCAGUGGCGAAGGCGGCUUACUGGCUCGAAACUGACGCUGAGGCGCGAAAGCGUGGGGAGCAAACAGGAUUAGAUACCCCGGUAGUCCCUGUCUCUUAUAC